This is a non-coding RNA of Misgurnus anguillicaudatus (oriental weatherfish), 2216 nucleotides long. Lineage: Eukaryota; Metazoa; Chordata; Actinopteri; Cypriniformes; Cobitidae. The record is from RefSeq and is a predicted model, not a curated record.
AGGUUUGUAUUUCCUUUGUAACUUUAUAGGAAAUUUGUUAGCCAUAUUUAAGUUAGUACAUUUUGGUAUCGUAUGUACGCUUCGCUUUAGUUCAAUGUUAGAGUAAAUGUAUAAUAGAGUAAUAUUAAUAUUCAUCCGCAGCGGGUAAGUGCGCGAGCUCAUACGGCCGUUACUCAAGCGGAAGGCUGCAGCCUCUGGAGGUCGCGUGUCUUAUUUCAGAAUAUUAACAAGUAUAAAGUUGACUAUUAUUCUUAGUUAAUCGUAAAUUGUUGUAAUAUGCUUAUGACUUGCGAAUGUAAUGCUCAGUUAACUUAAUAAACCAGGCUUGAUGACGUAUACAGCCUGCCUAUGCGACCUCCGGAGGAUGCAGCCUUCCGUUUGAGAAACGGCCUACAUGUGUACCGAGGGCGAGCGUGCACGAAAUUCUGUCUGAAUUGAUUCUUCAAUAAUGGCAAAGCAAACAUUUUCUGUCGUGAUGAUUAAACACAUUUUAACGUUUAAAUUAAAACUCCUACCUUUCCAGGGGUUUCUGUUCCUGCAGUCUUCCAGCGACACUUCAGUUGUACUGUGUGUGUACUUGCUUGCCGCGUAUGACGAUACGGACACGAACAAUAUACCGCCACCUACUGUACUGUAGUAAAAUGACAUGUAUGAUUGAAUACUGUGGCACAGGCAGUAAAAAUAGCCCUUUUUCUCAGCCUUUAAACAUCUGAUAAAUGUGUACUACAAAAAGGUAAGUUCAGCACCAGAUCCGCUUAUGUUAUACUGUAAUGACCUCUGUGUAUGACAUGUGCUAUACAAAUAAACUUGCCUUGCCUUGUAAGAUUGAUACUGGUUUGAGAAAAACUAAGAUUUAAACAACCAAAUGUUUCCAGUGCAACAUGAAAAAAACAUUGGAAAACAAUUUUCAGCCUAAGGUUAGAUAAUGUAGCCAAUGGUCUUCUAUUAAUUUUGGUACAAUGGUACAUUUCCUUUGUGUACUGCAAGCUGAACUUACCGAUUUAUAUGGACUUUACUUACAGGUUUUCUGUGCUAUGUUGCUCAUUUCAUGGAGCAAAAUAAGUCUGAGGUAGCACCAUCCUUGUGGUUUGAGUGGAACAAUGGGGGUAUUGAGACCAAAUGAACAAUGUGCCACUCUAGACAGCUGUGGACAAAAUAUGCAGUCAGAGUAUUUUCUCAAACAGAAAGAGAAUUCCAGGCCAAAAGGACUCAACAGAGACAACAUUGUCAGUACACAAAACAAAAAGUUGGAAUGAUUAAGAAAAAUGCAUGUUUCUAUACAUAUUUUCUUUAAAUCCAAUUUUUUUCACCGGUCAGCAGGACAGUAAAUUAUCUGAAGGUGAAAUCAUUAUUAAAGGUGAUAUCAUUGUCAUUGGCUUUGAUUGUUACAUAUGAUUUUAAACAGUGGGAAUCAUUGUGUAUUUUUAAUCAUUAUGUGAAUUAAUCAUUAUUGACAGCAAUUGCACAAGUGUAAGUAAAAACUUUAAAAAAGAUCCAACUGUUGAAUAUUUGAUUGUUAAAUGCUAAACGUUAAACUAAAGUGUACAUGGUCCAUGUUAAUGUUUUUAGUAUUUUUUUUUUCAGCUGAGGAGCCAGGUAAAACUUAAAGGUCACAAUAUGAUUUACUAUCAUUUUAUUAUUUCAUUCUGAUUUUUCUCCUGUUUUUUUUCUGAGUUAGAUGAGGAGCAACCAGUACAUCAAAGCAAAAAGAUGCUAUGAUAUUGUCUGAGGCACCUUAUUUUCCAUGUCCUUCACAAUCACAACUGCAGCACACCAGUCAAUUUCUGCCAUUCGGAAGAAUCAGAAAGAAAUCUUGGAUUGGAGAAUCAUUCUGAAAGUAGACCAAAUUCAGGACAACAUCACAGCAGUGGUCGGACUCGGAAAAACAUCAGUCAAUGAGCAAGCCAAGCUAACUUUCAAAAGAUGAUUUGUUAUCUGUCUUCAGAGGGACGGCAGCUUGGAGGAUGCUACAGCUACACAGGGAGAAUUUCAGCAGCUCAGUUUCAUACUUGCAACUAAUAAUGAAUAAUAGUUAAAAGACAGCGGAAAGAAUUGACAUCGCAGAGACACACCAAGAAACACGCACACACACGCAGCUGAAGCGAGUUUGACUGACGUGCAUGGGAGAUCGGGCACCGUGCACGCACACACAAACAUGAAGCACAGCAUAAUUACAACUGUUGGAUUAAAAUAAAAGUACUUUGUGGUAUACAAUG